CACAGGAAGUGAGCACAAUUUGAGCAGCUGUGCCAACCUGGCUUCCGUUGGCCCCCACAUACGCCACCUUUCCCAAUUUUUUUUUACUUUUCCAGCUUUUUUGGAGGAAUUUUUCAAAGAAUUAAAAGAGAUAAGAUGGA
Caenorhabditis elegans is the source of this 140-nucleotide non-coding RNA. NCBI's taxonomy places the organism in Eukaryota, Metazoa, Nematoda, Chromadorea, Rhabditida, Rhabditidae. The record is from Ensembl.